CCCCUAGAUGUUCUGGGCCGCACGCGCGCUACACUGAACAGUUCAACAAGUCUUAACCUUGGCCGAUAGGUCUGGGUAAUCUUUGAACGCUGUUCGUGAUUGGGAUAGACCUUUGCAAUUAUGGGUCUUCAACGAGGAAUUCCUAGUAAACGCAAGUCAUCAGCUUGCAUUGAUUGCGUCCCUGCCCUUUGUACACACCGCCCGUCGCACCUACCGAUUGAAUGGUCCGGUGAAAUCUCGGGACGGCGACUUGGUCGCUUGCGUCCGACUGCUGAAACUUGAUUAAACCAUAUCAUUUAGAGGAAGGUGAANUCGUANCA
RNAcentral lists this ribosomal RNA (320 nucleotides) under uncultured eukaryote. Its description in RNAcentral is "partial 18S ribosomal RNA". It matches the Rfam family "Eukaryotic small subunit ribosomal RNA", at positions 1470 to 1796 of the family's 1831-position model. The record is from RNAcentral.